UCAGGACGAACGCUGGCGGCGUGCCUAAUACAUGCAAGUCGAACGGUCUUUCUAUGGAAGCUUGCUUCCACUGGGAAGAUAGUGGCGAAACGGGGUGAGGUAACACGUGGGGUAACCUAGCCCAUAAGAGGGGGGAGUAACAUCCGGAAACGGGUAGCUAAUACCGCAUAGUUUUCUUGAUCGCAUGAUUGAGAAAGGAAAGACGGCCUUUGUGCUGUCGCUUAUGGAUGGACCCGCGGCGUAUUAGUUAGUUGGUGAGGUAACGGCUCACCAAGACGAUGAUACGUAGCCGACCUGAGAGGGUGAUCGGCCACAUUGGGACUGAGACACGGCCCAAACUCCUACGGGAGGCAGCAGUAGGGAAUCUUCCGCAAUGGACGAAAGUCUGACGGAGCAACGCCGCGUGAGUGAAGAAAAGGGUUUUCGGAUCGUAAAACUCUGUUGUCAGAGAAGAACAAGUUGGAGAGUAACUGCUCCAGCCUUGACGGUAUCUGACCAGAAAGCCACGGCUAACUACGUGCCAGCCGCGGC
RNAcentral lists this ribosomal RNA (531 nucleotides) under uncultured bacterium. RNAcentral's name for it is "bacterial SSU rRNA". It matches the Rfam family "Bacterial small subunit ribosomal RNA", at positions 24 to 518 of the family's 1533-position model. The record is from RNAcentral.